GACGAACGCUGGCGGCGUGCUUAACACAUGCAAGUCGAACGGAAAGGCCCUGCUUUUGUGGGGUUCUCGAUUGGCGAACGGGUGAGUAUCACGUGAGUAACCUGCCCUUGACUUUGGGAUAACUUCAGGAAACUGGGGCUAAUACCGGAUAGGAGCUCCUGCUGCAUGGUGGGGGUUGGAAAGUUUCGGCGGUUGGGGAUGGACUCGCGGCUUAUCAGCUUGUUGGUGGGGUAGUGGCUUACCAAGGGUUUGACGGGUAGCCGGCCUGGGAGGGUGACCGGCGACAUUGGGACUAAGAGACGGCGCAGAAGGGAACGGGAGGCAGCAGUGGGAAAUAUUGCAGAAUGGGCGGAAGCCUGAUGCAGAAACGCCGCGUGCGGGAUGACGGCCUUCGGGUUGUAAACCGAUUUCGACUGUGACGAAGCGUGAGUGACGGUAAUGGGUAAAGAAGCACCGGCUAACUACGUG
RNAcentral lists this ribosomal RNA (468 nucleotides) under uncultured bacterium. Its description in RNAcentral is "partial 16S ribosomal RNA". It matches the Rfam family "Bacterial small subunit ribosomal RNA", at positions 28 to 507 of the family's 1533-position model. The record is from RNAcentral.